CCACUGCCACUAUUCUCCUCUGUUCUUCUCAUUUUGACUGUCAUUCGACAUGAAAUGCCCAUUGUAGAGCCUCCUCAAUGUUGCAAGCUCAUCCUCACCAUCAAUUUUGCCUGAAAUUGCUAGAGAUUGACGAAGUAAGGAGGGAAGAAGAAGCUUGCCACUCGCUGCCUUCGCUAAAACACCCCCAUGGCAGUAUUUUCUAGUCAAACUGAGACCAAAAUCAGUUUUCUCGCCCUCAGAAACCUGUGCCUAGAGAUUUGCAACCCCUAAUGAUGCCUUUCAGUCGGUGAUUGGAGGUGGACUUGCCUCAUCGGAGAUAUUCGAUUUUUGGAUCGUUUGAUGGCCUUCCGGUGGUUGUUAGGGGGAAGUAACCACAUAUUUAGACUCCUCCUGUUUUGAUCUACAAUUUGGUACCUUCAGAUUAAAUUUUUGUCGAUGUUGAAAUUUUUCAGCGAUCGAGUCCGGUGACCUUGGGAUGCGUGCCAGUAGGCGAAUUUCUAAUUUGUGCUUCUAGGCGUCCGUCUGACCGUAUCGAGUAAUUUUUCUGGGCCGAUAAUCCAGCCUUCCCGCCAGCUCCACCUGAGGCGUAGGAGCGGACUACGGAACGCAUUAGAACUGGAUGAGACUUUAGUAGAACAUGCCAUUUGAUGGGUUACAUCAGGACCGUGUGCGCACCGUUAAUGAUUAAAGACAGGUAACAAGGUAUUUAUAGAUUUUUGCCCUGGUCAAGCAUUGUUCUCUAGGCUGAGUAGAGUUGAUUGCCGGAGGUAAGGUCCCUGGUCGAGCAAUGCUCUCUGGGCACCGGCUUGGUUGGAAAUCAAGUGUUUAGGCUGGAGGUAAGGACCCUGAUCGAGCUUUGCUCUCUGGGCGCCAGACCUGUUGGAUUAAGAGAGCCAAAAGGCUACUAGUAAUUGGAGUUAGGGUUCUACUGAGCCACUCAUCCUGCAAAAGUAAAAAUGUAUUUCAUUUUUAAAUUAUAAUAUAAUUCGUAUUUGAUGUACAUGGUUUGUUAUACUAAUUGUAAUAAUUAUUAUUUUUUGUGAAGAGUGCAAUAGUCACAAGAUUAUUUGAUUUUAACUCACUCCUGAGACUGACAGUCUCAAUUUUAUUUUUCACGUGACAGUUAAAGUUCCUCGUCGUCCUGUAUUUUGACAGUCCGACUUCUUCUCCUUCGGACUUUUUGUAAAUAACAUGUACUUCAUACUUUUGUUAUUGUUUACUCUAGACUAUCCGCAGUAGAGAACUUUUAAUUUUGUUGUGAUUAUUUUGGUCCAUGUUGGACGUGUGAUGUUAUGAAGAUCUGAUAGAAUUAUUUAUGAAAUGUCAGUCAUGAUUAAUUAUA
Molecule: long non-coding RNA, 1342 nt
Organism: Ricinus communis (castor bean)
Lineage: Eukaryota; Viridiplantae; Streptophyta; Magnoliopsida; Malpighiales; Euphorbiaceae
Exons: 3
Source: RefSeq, a predicted model, not a curated record